GGAGGGAUCAUUACCGAGUUUACAACUCCCAAACCCCUGUGAACAUACCACUUGUUGCCUCGGCGGAUCAGCCCGCUCCCGGUAAAACGGGACGGCCCGCCAGAGGACCCCUAAACUCUGUUUCUAUAUGUAACUUCUGAGUAAAACCAUAAAUAAAUCAAAACUUUCAACAACGGAUCUCUUGGUUCUGGCAUCGAUGAAGAACGCAGCAAAAUGCGAUAAGUAAUGUGAAUUGCAGAAUUCAGUGAAUCAUCGAAUCUUUGAACGCACAUUGCGCCCGCCAGUAUUCUGGCGGGCAUGCCUGUUCGAGCGUCAUUUCAACCCUCAAGCACAGCUUGGUGUUGGGACUCGCGUUAAUUCGCGUUCCUCAAAUUGAUUGGCGGUCACGUCGAGCUUCCAUAGCGUAGUAGUAAAACCCUCGUUACUGGUAAUCGUCGCGGCCACGCCGUUAAACCCCAACUUCUGAAUGUUGACCUCGGAUCAGGUAGGAAUACCCGCUGAACUUAAGCAUAUC
Molecule: ribosomal RNA, 514 nt
Filed under: Fusarium oxysporum
Lineage: Eukaryota; Fungi; Ascomycota; Sordariomycetes; Hypocreales; Nectriaceae
Description: eukaryotic LSU rRNA
Rfam family: 5.8S ribosomal RNA (bases 162-315)
Source: RNAcentral